This 253-nucleotide ribosomal RNA is filed under the name uncultured bacterium. Its description in RNAcentral is "partial 16S ribosomal RNA". It matches the Rfam family "Bacterial small subunit ribosomal RNA", at positions 524 to 776 of the family's 1533-position model. The record is from RNAcentral.
UACAGAGGGGGCAAGCGUUGUUCGGAAUUACUGGGCGUAAAGGGCGCGUAGGCGGCCUGUUAAGUCGAACGUGAAAUCCCUGGGCUCAACCCGGGAACUGCGUCCGAUACUGGCAGGCUUGAAUUCGGGAGAGGGAUGCGGAAUUCCAGGUGUAGCGGUGAAAUGCGUAGAUAUCUGGAGGAACACCGGUGGCGAAGGCGGCAUCCUGGACCGAUAUUGACGCUGAGGCGCGAAAGCCAGGGGAGCAAACGGG